GUGGAGAUCUCAAUCCAGUGUUCCCCAGUACCAACACUACCUCCAUCUACUCUGUCUGAUACAGAUCAAGACACAUCUGAUCUCUCUGGGACCGUGGACACAGAAUUGUCUGAGUGCAGGAAUGCGUCCACAUCAUCUGCCAACAACCACAGCCCAUAUCAGGGGGUAGGAAAUGAGAGUUCUCUUGGUAAGAGCAAGGGCGGGUGUAAGUGUUAGUGAAACACUCUGUGUCAAUUGAGUUGUUAAAAUGCUCCGUCUCAUUUCAAUCUCUUGUAUUGCCACAGGUGAGGAAAAUGAGACCCAGACCGUCAUGGAGGCCCUAUUUGUGAAUGAACUUGCCGAAGACGCCUCAGGUUUGGCGCCCCCUAGUGAUGACAAUAUGAAGUGCGCUUUGCCAGAGCUUAUGUUUCAAGCGCGAUCAGAGCAGUUAUCCAUUACAAAUGCACCUCUCCAAAGCAGUCUAUGUUCUGAGGUGUUUGAGGUACCUGCAGAUGAGUAUGUGCGUUAGUAAGGUGUCUUGACAAAUAAGAAAGGACUUAAAGAACAGGGAAAAGAGUGCAGGAAAGAAAAGUGAAUUUGUGGCACCACACACUGACAACUGGUUAAGAGGUAAUGAUCUAAUGUACCAAGUUUGAUCUGAAUUGGGAUUAUCUGAAAAUGUUUUGUCAAGAACACUUACUUGCAGAACAUGAAGAUCAAAAAAUUAAGUAAAAGCUUCUUUGUUGUCGUACAGGUGUUUAAGUAACAUUUACCAUACCUAAUAUAGAUUUAGUGCAAAUAUAAGUGUAUGCUCUCAGUUAUGUUUGAAAUGAAAUCAACUAUUUCAUUAGCCUUGUGCAAAAAAAAAGUUUUGACCUGCUGACUAUUGUUAUUUGAAGUGGUUUAGUGAACGGUGCAUAACAGUAGUUUAUGCCCAUACAAUGUAUAUUGAUGCCACAAAACAGAACGCAAUAUAUAUGCGUAGUGUUGCACAAAGUGCUUAAUUAUUGUAUUUAAAAUUUAAAAUACUUGAAACGUUUUGCCUUUGCUCUAGUUUGAGCCAAACUUGUACAAUGUAAGUUAUAUUACAUUAUGCUGCGCAGUAUUUCUUUGCACAAUAUGUAUGCACAUGGUAUAGUCAUGACAGUGAAGUGUUUAACCUACUGUUUAAUCUACUGUGAAAUGAAUCCAAACUUUCUGAAACUUAAUCAAAUCAUAUAACACUGCAUCUCUACAACUGAAACUGCUGCCCUUCAUAAUGCAUCAUAGUAUACCCACAAACACAAACAUCUUUCCCCCCAGUCAAGAUAUGAGACACAGAGCUGCUGGGUUGUUUUAUGUUCAUUUCCCCUUGGUCCCUCAUAAUGUAAUCAUGGUUGUGGCAAUCUUGUUUUAAAUACGUCAGCAGCACCCAAGCAACUCUUCUAUUGGACCCAGUUGUAGUAUGGCAGUGUUACUUUAUUCAUAAAUGCCAUGAAACUCCCCAGACCUGACAAUUCAUUAUUCAUCCCUGUCUUAUUGUUUUGUGUACAUGUGUACACGGUCACAAAUAUACAAGGACAGGUUUUUACCGAAUACCUGUUUAUAUCUUAAAACAUGUAGCAAGGAAAUGGAAC
Clupea harengus (Atlantic herring) is the source of this 1595-nucleotide long non-coding RNA. NCBI's taxonomy places the organism in Eukaryota, Metazoa, Chordata, Actinopteri, Clupeiformes, Clupeidae. The record is from Ensembl.